GGACUCUGUAAGCUCACACUUUUUUUUAAGUCUUGAAAUAUUUUUCGGAUAUUUGGUGGGGACCGAAUUUAGGUGAUGUGUUUGUUGUGUUGCUGCUGCCCCUGGAAUUUUAUUUCCCAAAACAUGGUUGAUAUUUUUUUUUUAUGUGUAGGGCUGGCUUAAUGCGAGCUUUCAGAGUGGAAGACCGUACCUACCUAUUGAGUCCAAGAUGUUGACCAAAGCAUUAGAUGAAGCCCAAAAGAAAGUAGAGAACUAUUUCCUUGACAUUCGGAAGCAACUAUUUGAGUAUGAUCCAAAGAGAUCGUGUUUAUACAGAGAGAAGACGAGCCCUUGAAUCUGAAAAUCUUCAGUCUCUUCUUAUUGAAUAUGCUGAAUUGACGAUGGAAGACAUUUUAGAGGUAAGGAGAAGGCCCCCGUCAUCAACACAUCGUCAUGUUAGGUUUUUAUUUCUUCUCCCUUUCACUUCUGACGGCCGACGUCUACUCAUGAGGAAGGAGGAGUAGAGAGUGUUGAUGAAAUUAUCAACUUCUUGGUAGGUUUUCGUCACCCUAUAUAGAGUUAGGUUUGAAUUUGAUGGAGAUUAGACAGUGCAGGAAGGAGAAAGCAAGGAGAAGGACAAGAGAUGAUGAUGGAAAGUACGAAAUUUUUGUCACCAUGGGUAGUGUUAGGUCAGAAUCGGAAGGAGAAGAGAAGAUGGUGGAAGAAAAAGGACCAAUUUUUCACUGCGAGGAAGCUAAGAUGACAUGAUGGAUCAUCAUCCUUGCAUAAUAGUUCCCGCUUUUGGAAGGAAGAGGGAAGAUGCUGGAUUGAGAAGGAGUGUUGUCAGGUGAGGAUCGGUAGAAGCAGAGAAGAUGAUGGACUCUUUGGUCAUUGAUAUCUUCCCUGUCAUGGUCGUAUCACUUCAGGGAGGGGAUAUGAUGUUGUGAGGUGCUAUGUACUGGGCUGAAUGGUGGGGUCUGUUGCUCGUGGUAUCAGUUCUAUAGGGGUACAUUUGAGAGGCUUGGAAAUACUGUUGCAAGGCACCGGAUGCAGAUGUGGAAGAUGAUGCAGCCUAAUAGUUUUAGGGUUCAUGUUUUCACUCUGUAGUCAUGCAUGAAGAAGGAGGUACUUUGAUGAUCUAUUGUUUUUUACUUUGUUUCUGAGACCUUUCCCUUAAUUGUGGUACUUUAUGUGAGUUGAUAUUUUCCUUGAAAUUUUUAAAUUUGAACCACCAAUGUUGGCUA
Long non-coding RNA from Lotus japonicus, 1223 nucleotides. RefSeq lists it as uncharacterized. NCBI's taxonomy places the organism in Eukaryota, Viridiplantae, Streptophyta, Magnoliopsida, Fabales, Fabaceae. The record is from RefSeq and is a predicted model, not a curated record. The transcript has 2 exons.